Molecule: long non-coding RNA, 601 nt
Organism: Nomascus leucogenys (northern white-cheeked gibbon)
Lineage: Eukaryota; Metazoa; Chordata; Mammalia; Primates; Hylobatidae
Exons: 3
Source: RefSeq, a predicted model, not a curated record
CAGCUGAUACAGAGGUGUCAUUUGUGACAUCUUAAUUCCAACAGAGAAGUGCCAUCACAGGUCCAGUGAAUUGUGGAUGUAUCACAGCUGGCAGAACACCUGGAAUUCACAGUGAUCUUUCCAUCAUGAAAUACUAAGACGCUUGCCAAUCACUAAGAUGACCUAAGCCUCAUGUGUCUGCAGACCAGGCUCCUCGUUGUGCAAAGCUGCCUUGCAAGCCUCCGAUGCCCAUGUGCUCCUCCCUGUCUUGGUUCCUAUUGCUCCUGAUUAUGUGUUAGUCCUCACUGUGCAGUUCAAAUCAAGAAGAGGCACUAAAAAUGGAACUGCUAAAAACACAUUUCCAGAUUAAAUCUGUGAACACAUUAAAAAUAUUAUAAACUACUUGAAGGCCAGCAUUGGUUUGGGAUUGUGUUAAUAAUAGACAUUAGAAAAACCAUAUUUUUCUGCAUGUGACAACCUGUUUACAAAACAAACCCUUUUAAGUACUAAGUGAGAUAACAUGUGUGAACGUGUCCAGAUUUGUAUAUAUCUGAUACCUGCUAAGUGUUUGGUAAUUUUCUUCUUCUGUCUGUAUAAGAGAUCAUUCAAAUACCUUGAUCUU